Molecule: ribosomal RNA, 397 nt
Filed under: uncultured bacterium
Lineage: Bacteria
Description: bacterial SSU rRNA
Rfam family: Bacterial small subunit ribosomal RNA
Source: RNAcentral
GACGAACGCUGGCGGCGUGCCUAACACAUGCAAGUCGGACGGGAUUUGGGGGCAACUCCAAGUUCAGUGGCAGACGGGUGCGUAACACGUGAGAAACCUGCCCAACGGUGGGGGACAGCCGGCCUAACGGCCGGGUAAUACCGCAUACGCUCGUUUGGGGGCAUCCCUGAGCGAGGAAAGCAGCCGCAAGGUUGCACCGAUGGAGGGUCUCGCGGCCUAUCAGCUAGUUGGCGGGGUAACGGCCCACCAAGGCGACGACGGUAGCUGGUCUGAGAGGAUGGCCAGCCACAUUGGGACUGAGACACGGCCCAGACUCCUACGGGAGGCAGUAGUGGGGAAUAUUGCGCAAUGGCCGCAAGGCUGACGCAGCGACGCCGCGUGUGGGAUGACGGCCUGG